Molecule: ribosomal RNA, 497 nt
Filed under: uncultured bacterium
Lineage: Bacteria
Description: partial 16S ribosomal RNA
Rfam family: Bacterial small subunit ribosomal RNA
Source: RNAcentral
GAUGAACGCUGGCGGCGUGCCUAAUACAUGCAAGUCGAGCGAACGGACGAGAAGCUUGCUUCUCUGAUGUUAGCGGCGGACGGGUGAGUAACACGUGGAUACCCUACCUAUAAGACUGGGAUAACUUCGGGAAACCGGAGCUAAUACCGGAUAAUAUUUUGAACCGCAUGGUUCAAAAGUGAAAGACGGUCUUGCUGUCACUUAUAGAUGGAUCCGCGCUGCAUUAGCUAGUUGGUAAGGUAACGGCUUACCAAGGCAACGAUGCAUAGCCGACCUGAGAGGGUGAUCGGCCACCUUGGAACUGAGCCACGGUCCAGACUCCUACGGGAGGCAGCAGUCGGGAAUCUUCCGCAAUGGGCGAAAGCCUGACGGAGCAACGCCGCGUGAGUGAUGAAGGUCUUCGGAUCGUAAAACUCUGUUAUUAGGGAAGAACAUAUGUGUAAGUAACUGUGCACAUCUUGACGGUACCUAAUCAGAAAGCCACGGCUAACUACGUG